CUUACCACGCGUUAUCACUUGCUUUAAACAGACUUGGCAGGCAAUCUAAUCCUCCCUGAAAAGGUCAGUGCCAUUUUAACUGCCUUUCAAUCACAUUAUGCAUGGUGCAGCACACGUUCUCUGCGAUGCCUCCAGCUCUUGUCUAGACUGGAUCAAUACCUGAGCGAUAUCACUGGAGGAAUGACACAUGAUGCCAAUCGACCCGAAAUCCCUAAAUGGAACUGAACAGAAGGGAACAACUGGCCGCCUCUGACCUAUCGCUACCUAAUCUACUUAGUCCCAUCUGCUCAGGCCGAAAUAACAACCAAAGAUUUCCUCAGUCAGUGGUUUGCAGUGAGUGGGGACUUGCUCAGGCAGAACAACCCCACCCCCCAUCAGCUUUGAAGUCACAUUACAAAGCAGAGCCGAUGCCUCAGAGAAUUUCUUCAAUUCCAUUGCCCUGAUUAUUUUGCUGCAACCCAUUCUCUCACACAUGCCCACAGUCACCCCAAUUCUUCCGUCAGCCUCCAGUACUACACUAAUAUGCCUGAGGGAGAAAAUCAGACUAACAGGAUGGAACUAUGCAAUUACAGGAGAACAUGCAAACUUCACGGACAGCACCAGAGAAUCUGAAUCAAUUGCAGUUUUCUGGAGUUGUGAAACAUCUACUACCAUUGAAACUGCCAUUUAGUGUGCUUUAAAUGCACUGUCACCAUGUCACCCUUCUUAGCUCUGCUGUUCCUCUGACGACUGACCUGACAAAAGUACCAUUGGGAAUGGUAGCUGGCCAUACAGAACAUGGUUUGAACUGAGUUAACUGACAUGAGCCACAGCAACAGUAGGUGCACUGUAAUUGGUCUCGGAACUCUUGAGCUAUGGAAAGGUAAAUCAACUCGGGUUUCCAAUCUUGAUCAUUAUCCAGUGUCUUGAAAGUGAGAGUGUAAACUCCAGCUGAGAACAUAUCAGCUUUGACUAUCACAGUGUCUGAGAUGGAAUAGCUUUGCUAAAACUCACUAUCCAAGAUACAAAACGGACGGUUGGUUGUGCGGGGUAGGUGGAGAGCUCUGAUGCUUGAGCAUCAAUGUUGCAGCUCAAAACUUUGAUUCAAAGGAUCAUGUUUAAAUAUUUAUUUUUGUUCAUUUUUAAGCAAAUUUUUUUUAGAAAAAUGUUCAUAUAUUAUUUUUCAUUUGUUUUUA
This is a long non-coding RNA of Mobula hypostoma (lesser devil ray), 1175 nucleotides long. RefSeq lists it as uncharacterized. The transcript has 3 exons. NCBI's taxonomy places the organism in Eukaryota, Metazoa, Chordata, Chondrichthyes, Myliobatiformes, Myliobatidae. The record is from RefSeq and is a predicted model, not a curated record.